UGCCCCUUGGUCUAGUAGUAUGAUUCCUGCUUCGGGUGCAGGAGGUCGCGGGUUCAAUUCCCGCAGGGGCCC
Rhizoclosmatium globosum is the source of this 72-nucleotide transfer RNA. It matches the Rfam family "tRNA". Rfam says of the family: Transfer RNA (tRNA) molecules are approximately 80 nucleotides in length. Their secondary structure includes four short double-helical elements and three loops (D, anti-codon, and T loops). Further hydrogen bonds mediate the characteristic L-shaped molecular structure. tRNAs have two regions of fundamental functional importance: the anti-codon, which is responsible for specific mRNA codon recognition, and the 3' end, to which the tRNAs corresponding amino acid is attached (by aminoacyl-tRNA synthetases). tRNAs cope with the degeneracy of the genetic code in two manners: having more than one tRNA (with a specific anti-codon) for a particular amino acid; and 'wobble' base-pairing, i.e. permitting non-standard base-pairing at the 3rd anti-codon position. Lineage: Eukaryota; Fungi; Chytridiomycota; Chytridiomycetes; Chytridiales; Chytriomycetaceae. The record is from Rfam.